GGCCCUAUAACUCAAAGGAUAGAGUACUGGCCUUCGAAGCCAGCAGUGAUGGUUCGAAUCCGUCUAGGGUCA
Molecule: transfer RNA, 72 nt
Filed under: Spirochaetaceae bacterium
Lineage: Bacteria; Pseudomonadati; Spirochaetota; Spirochaetia; Spirochaetales; Spirochaetaceae
Description: tRNA-Arg
Rfam family: tRNA
About the family: Transfer RNA (tRNA) molecules are approximately 80 nucleotides in length. Their secondary structure includes four short double-helical elements and three loops (D, anti-codon, and T loops).
Source: RNAcentral